This 74-nucleotide non-coding RNA is filed under the name unclassified sequences. The record is from RNAcentral.
GGGGUUUUGCCCCGCCCUAAUGCGGCUUCCGGCAGUGGAAACGGUUGCAAGCCCGUGCGAACGCAGAGCAGGGA